UACGUAGGUCCCGAGCGUUGUCCGGAUUUAUUGGGCGUAAAGCGAGCGCAGGUGGUUUAUUAAGUCUGGUGUAAAAGGCAGUGGCUCAACCAUUGUAUGCAUUGGAAACUGGUAGACUUGAGUGCAGGAGAGGAGAGUGGAAUUCCAUGUGUAGCGGUGAAAUGUGUAGAUAUAUGGAGGAACACCGGUGGCGAAAGCGGCUCUCUGGCCUGUAACUGACACUGAGGCUCGAAAGCGUGGAGAGCAAACAGG
RNAcentral lists this ribosomal RNA (252 nucleotides) under uncultured bacterium. RNAcentral describes it as "partial 16S ribosomal RNA". It matches the Rfam family "Bacterial small subunit ribosomal RNA", at positions 524 to 776 of the family's 1533-position model. The record is from RNAcentral.